UCAAAGACAGGGUGACCAGAGAAGAGGGA
This 29-nucleotide non-coding RNA is filed under the name Homo sapiens (human). The record is from RNAcentral. Lineage: Eukaryota; Metazoa; Chordata; Mammalia; Primates; Hominidae.